RNAcentral lists this transfer RNA (73 nucleotides) under Stegodyphus mimosarum. It matches the Rfam family "tRNA". From Rfam's summary of the family: Transfer RNA (tRNA) molecules are approximately 80 nucleotides in length. Their secondary structure includes four short double-helical elements and three loops (D, anti-codon, and T loops). Lineage: Eukaryota; Metazoa; Arthropoda; Arachnida; Araneae; Eresidae. The record is from Rfam by way of RNAcentral.
GCCUUCAUGGUGUAGUGGUCAGCACGCUCGACGCGUAACCGAGAGGUCCAUGGUUCGAUUCCCGGCGAAGGCG